GUGGGGAAUCUUGCGCAAUGGGCGAAAGCCUGACGCAGCCAUGCCGCGUGAAUGAUGAAGGUCUUAGGAUUGUAAAAUUCUUUCACCGGGGACGAUAAUGACGGUACCCGGAGAAGAAGCUCCGGCUAACUUCGUGCCAGCAGCCGCGGUAAUACGAAGGGGGCUAGCGUUGCUCGGAAUUACUGGGCGUAAAGGGCGCGUAGGCGGACAGCUUAGUCAGAGGUGAAAGCCCAGGGCUCAACCUCGGAAUUGCCUUUGAUACUGGCUGUCUUGAGUUUGGGAGAGGUGAGUGGAACUCCGAGUGUAGAGGUGAAAUUCGUAGAUAUUCGGAAGAACACCAGUGGCGAAGGCGACUCACUGGCCCAAUACUGACGCUGAGGCGCGAAAGCGUGGGGAGCAAACAGGAUUAGAUACCCGAGUAGUCC
This 425-nucleotide ribosomal RNA is filed under the name uncultured bacterium. Its description in RNAcentral is "partial 16S ribosomal RNA". It matches the Rfam family "Bacterial small subunit ribosomal RNA", at positions 354 to 796 of the family's 1533-position model. The record is from RNAcentral.